UGGAGAUAAUGAACAGCUCAGGGUGAGGUAACACCACUAUAUCACGAUACUGGAGAUAAUGAACAGCUCGGGGUGAGAACACCACUAUAUCACGAUACUGGAGAUAAUGAACAGCUCAGGGUGAGGUAACACUACUAUAUCACGAUACUGGAGAUAAUGACCAGCUCGGGGUGAGAUAACACUACUAUAUCACGAUACUGGAGAUAAUGAACAGGGUGAGAUAACACUACUAUAUCACGAUACUGGAGAUAAUGAACAGGGUGAGGUAACACCACUAUAUCACGAUAUUGGAGAUAAUGAACAGGGUGAGAACACCACUAUAUCACGAUACUGG
Long non-coding RNA from Oncorhynchus tshawytscha (Chinook salmon), 334 nucleotides. Lineage: Eukaryota; Metazoa; Chordata; Actinopteri; Salmoniformes; Salmonidae. The record is from Ensembl.